UACGGAGGGGGCUAGCGUUGUUCGGAAUUACUGGGCGUAAAGCGCACGUAGGCGGCUUUGCAAGUCAGAGGUGAAAGCCCGGGGCUCAACCCCGGAAUUGCCUUUGAGACUGGAUCGCUAGAAUUGUGGAGAGGUAAGUGGAAUUCCGAGUGUAGAGGUGAAAUUCGUAGAUAUUCGGAAGAACACCAGUGGCGAAGGCGACUUACUGGACACAUAUUGACGCUGAGGUGCGAAAGCGUGGGGAGCAAACAGG
Molecule: ribosomal RNA, 253 nt
Filed under: uncultured bacterium
Lineage: Bacteria
Description: partial 16S ribosomal RNA
Rfam family: Bacterial small subunit ribosomal RNA
Source: RNAcentral